This 224-nucleotide long non-coding RNA is filed under the name Gossypium barbadense (sea-island cotton). RNAcentral's name for it is "long non-coding RNA (GBAR_LNC014952)". Lineage: Eukaryota; Viridiplantae; Streptophyta; Magnoliopsida; Malvales; Malvaceae. The record is from RNAcentral.
GACAGCUCCUCAUCUCCUUCGUCUUCAUCUUCACGUGCAUGUCGGGGUUGAUAGCCAUAAUCAUCUUCACAUGUACGUCUCCAAAAUUUGAUCUUCGGGUUGAGUAUAUAAACAUAAAAAAUUAAUAAUUUAAACAACAUAAUAAUUAACUAUUUAAAAUUAAAUAAUUUAAUAAAAUUUCUUACCAUUUCUAAUUGAACACCGGAGAUAUGCUUUUCAUCCAA